GGGUGGUGGUAGAGGUGCUCUACAAGAUAGAGGAAGAGGUGGUGGUGGUGGUGGUGGUGGUGGUGGUGGUAUGGGUGGGGGUGGUGAGGUGUUAGACAUUGAAGGAGGUGUUGGUGGUGGUAGAGGUUCUUCUCUUGAUGAAGGAAGAGGUGGUGGUGGUGGAGGUUGCAUUUUACUUGUUGAAGGAAGAGGUGGAAGUCGUGCUCCACUCGAAUGAGGAAGAGGUGGAGGCGGUGGAGCUUUAAAAAAAGAAGGGGGUGAUGGAGCUUUAAAAAAAGAAGGGGGUGGUGGAGGAGAUGGUGGUAGGGCUCUAUAUACAACAGGAGGAGCAGGAGGCAAUGGUGGUGGAGGUGGAGGUUGAGAUUUACUUAAAGGUGGUGGUAGUGGAGCGUUAAGUAAUGUUGGUGUUAUAGGAGGAAGGGGUGGUGGAGCUCUA
Molecule: long non-coding RNA, 436 nt
Filed under: Lathyrus oleraceus (garden pea)
Lineage: Eukaryota; Viridiplantae; Streptophyta; Magnoliopsida; Fabales; Fabaceae
Description: Pisum sativum (pea) long non-coding RNA (PSAT_LNC021277)
Source: RNAcentral